Firmicutes bacterium CAG:56 is the source of this 92-nucleotide regulatory RNA element. It matches the Rfam family "THF (Tetrahydrofolate) riboswitch aptamer". Rfam says of the family: THF riboswitch presents a pseudoknot that joins P1-P2 and the loop of P3 and two THF binding. The record is from Rfam. Lineage: Bacteria; Bacillati; Bacillota.
AGUAGAGUAGAUAUCGUACGUAAAGUGUCGUUGGAGGGGGAGGCUUCCGACGAACGAAGGUUAUACCGCGUUACGGUCUCGCUUCCGCUACU